Long non-coding RNA from Ictalurus punctatus (channel catfish), 668 nucleotides. The record is from Ensembl. Lineage: Eukaryota; Metazoa; Chordata; Actinopteri; Siluriformes; Ictaluridae.
AACCGUGACGUCAUCUGACUAAACCACCACACACAUAAGUUAAAGACAACGGGUGCACUGUGAUUUCGUGCUAUAUUUCCAUGUAAAAUAAUCUCUCAGAGAGAAAGUUAGAAGUGAAUGAAUGUGCUGCUCCUCUCUGCCCCUCACUGAACAGAGUAGCCGCAGAGAGAGGCGUGUCUCCGGGGGAAAGCAGGACCUCACACUCACCGGGCAGUACUGGCCAUUCUCUUCUACAGAAAGUAGCUAAGGUCAGUCUCCCCGGCGCGCGCACAGACAUAUGUAGUCAAAUCGGAGGAGUGAGCCAUAAGAUCUGUUAUGACGUCACGUUCAGAGUUCUAUAAGUUUCCUGAUGGUAUGCUUGACAGUUGUUCCGUUUAUGACGCCGCAAAUGUCGAGGUUUUUAAACGUUGUGGUAUCAGAGCUGGCCUCUGUAUUCAUUGAACGGAGUAGUAUUUAAUCAUUGGUCUAUCUAACCUUUUCAUGUGGUUAGUUUCUUUGUUUGUUCAUCUGUGUUUAAGAAUGGACAUUGAAAUAAUAUAUCCAGAUAUGUGUACAGCUGCUGUGUGACAAUGUAAACUUAAAAAAAACCCAACAUUUCCAUGUCUAGAGAAGAGGGUGCGUUCUUUAAAAAUUAAAUCAUAAUGAUGAUGCUGUUAAACAGUUCAGAA